AUGAUACCGAUGUUUCGCAUGAUACGACGGUUUAAAGAUUUUAUCGGUGAAAGAUGGCCCUGCGCCUGAUUAGCUAGUUGGUGAGGUAAAUGGCUCACCAAGGCGACGAUCAGUAGCCGGCUUGAGAAGAGUGAACGGCCACACUGGGACUGAGACACGGCCCAGACUCCUACGGGAGGCAGCAGUGGGGAAUUUUGCACAAUGGAGGAAACUCUGAUGCAGCGACGCCGCGUGAACGAAGACGGUCUUCGGAUUGUAAAGUUCUGUCCUUGGUGAAGAAGAAGUGACGGUAGCCAAGGAGGAAGCCCCGGCUAACUACGUGCCAGCAGCCGCGGUAAUACGUAGGGGGCAAGCGUUGUCCGGAAUGAUUGGGCGUAAAGGGCUCGUAGGCGGCUAAUCAAGUCUGGAGUGAAAGUCCUGCUUUUAAGGUGGGAAUUGCUUUGGAAACUGAAUAGCUUGAGUGUAGGAGAGGUUAGUGGAAUUCCCAGUGUAGCGGUGAAAUGCGUAGAGAUUGGGAGGAACACCAGUGGCGAAGGCGACUAACUGGACUAUAACUGACGCUGAGGAGCGAAAGUGUGGGUAGCAAACAGGAUUAGAUACCCUGGUAGUCCACACUGUAAACGAUGAAUGCUAGGUGUAGGUGGUAUCGACCCCCAUCUGUGCCGCAGUAAACACAAUA
This 679-nucleotide ribosomal RNA is filed under the name uncultured bacterium. RNAcentral describes it as "bacterial SSU rRNA". It matches the Rfam family "Bacterial small subunit ribosomal RNA", at positions 173 to 862 of the family's 1533-position model. The record is from RNAcentral.